AGGAAAUAGCAUCCUUGUCCUUCCUGCAAGAAUGGAGGGGAAGAAAUUGGGAGCAAAUCAGGCUACAGUUCCUGGCAGGGAGCUUCUAAACCUUGGGAAUUCCCAGAGUGACAGGAAAGUCUUUGUUAUUCACGGUGGGCUACUUGGAUGACAGGCCAUAGAGAAUGACGACAAAUACAUGGAAGCAGAACCAUCCCAGCCAUCAGAACUUGAAGCAGACAGCAAGGCUGCCCACUGCCCACUGAUUUCAGCCAAGAUCAGCUGGUACUCACCUGACUCAAAGAUGCUUGAAGUGACUGUUCUCAUUCUGUGUUUUGAGAGAGUCUAUUGCACAACAAUUGCUGAUUGGCAUAGAUCCUGAACACUUAAAAAC
Molecule: long non-coding RNA, 373 nt
Filed under: Homo sapiens (human)
Lineage: Eukaryota; Metazoa; Chordata; Mammalia; Primates; Hominidae
Description: HSALNT0165382
Source: RNAcentral